RNAcentral lists this ribosomal RNA (1009 nucleotides) under uncultured bacterium. Its description in RNAcentral is "bacterial SSU rRNA". It matches the Rfam family "Bacterial small subunit ribosomal RNA", at positions 55 to 1054 of the family's 1533-position model. The record is from RNAcentral.
AUGCAAGUCGCACGGAGAAACAAAGGUAUUUAUAUUUUUGUUUUUCAGUGGCGCACGGGUGAGUAACACGUGAAUUACAUGCCCUUGAGAGGGGGAUAGCCCGGGGAAACCCGGAUUAAUACCCCAUAGUAUCGCAAGAUUAAAGGUGGCCAGCAAUGGCUGUCGCUCAAGGAUUGGUUCGCGCCCUAUCAGCUUGUUGAUGAGGUAACGGCUCACCAAGGCUACGACGGGUACCUGGUCUGAGAGGACGAUCAGGCACACUGGAACUGAGACACGGUCCAGACACCUACGGGUGGCAGCAGUCGAGAAUAAUUCACAAUGGACGCAAGUCUGAUGGUGCAACGCCGCGUGGAGGAUGACGGUCUUAGGAUUGUAAACUCCUGUCAUCUGGGAGAAAGACCUGACGAUUAAUAGUCGGCAGGGUUGAUAGUACCAGAAGAGGAAGGGACGGCUAACUUCGUGCCAGCAGCCGCGGUAAUACGAAGGUCCCGAGCGUUAUUCGGAAUCACUGGGCGUAAAGGGAGCGUAGGCGGCGCGGUAAGUCGGAUGUGAAAUCCCGGGGCUCAACCCCGGAACUGCAUCUGAUACUGCCGUGCUAGAGUAAUGGAGGGGUAGCUGGAAUUCUCGGUGUAGCAGUGAAAUGCGUAGAUAUCGAGAGGAACACUCGUGGCGAAAGCGAGCUACUGGACAUUUACUGACGCUGAGGCUCGAAGGCUAGGGGAGCGAAAGGGAUUAGAUACCCCUGUAGUCCUAGCAGUAAACGGUGCACGCUUGGUGUGAGGGGAUUCGACCCCCCUUGUGCCGGAGCUAACGCGUUAAGCGUGCCGCCUGGGAAGUACGGUCGCAAGACUAAAACUCAAAGAAAUUGACGGGGACCCGCACAAGCGGUGGAGUAUGUGGCUUAAUUCGAUGCAACGCGAAGAACCUUACCUAGGCUUGACAUGGAUUUCUAAGCACGUGAAAGCGUGUGACCCUUCGGGGAACUUCCACAGGUGCUGCAUGGCCGUCG